CAUAGCAGAGCUCGUUAACCCUGUGCUUCAGGAAGGAGGAAUCUCUUUUAGAUUCCUCCUUUUUAGAUUUUAAUUGUUGAUUUCUUGUGAAUUCCAGUAAAUUUAGCAAACCACUACUUCCUGUGUCAAGAGCCGGCAUAUUAUUUGCAGAAAUAUUGCACCUUCUCUGCAAACACAUGAGCCAGAAGGAAGUGGAGGCCUUAUGGAGGGACUCUAAACUGAGCUGGGCUGAUUUUCUUCCUGAAACCGUGGAUGUGAACAACUUUAUUAGUGAGCAGGUGAGCUGUUGGCUGCACACUAGAUUCAGACUCCACUGGAAGAUCUGGACCAAACAGGAUCCAGUGGGCAGUAGAUUUUUUACUACUUGAGUGAUAAUAAUAGAAGAGCUGAGUAAAAGUAACAGCAUAGUUAUUUUAUCAAAUCAUUUCGCUUGAAAAUUGAUUUAAAAUACUAUUUUUUAUGUCUGAUCUAAUCGCUUGGCUCGGCAUAUUUUUGGCUGGUUGUUACAGAGUGCUUUUAAAAAUGUGCAAUAAUCAAGAUAUGAAUGAUCGAUCUUGUGUGUUUUGAUGAAACAAAAGCUCAGUUCAGACUCUAAUUCAUGAUUAUUUCAAUUUUUUCAUUUUAAAGACCUGCAAACAUGCAAAUGAUAUUAUUAAUAUAACUGUAAAAGAUGUUUAAAAGGCUUCCUGACAAUCAGAUUAGUUCGGUUAAGGACAGUUGGGUUUAUUGUGGGAAAUGAGUCGGGGUUCUAGAGAUGAUUGGCCUCGGUUUAAGUUUGAUUUUUCAGGUUAGUAUUUAUGGAAACGUGGAAUCCUGCAUUCAGAAGACUGCUGCAGUAAUGAUCCAAAGCAACACCUUUGAAUGGAAAUGAAGGUAGCAAACAGGGUGUAAGUGAUUCUUCACUG
Molecule: long non-coding RNA, 905 nt
Organism: Silurus meridionalis
Lineage: Eukaryota; Metazoa; Chordata; Actinopteri; Siluriformes; Siluridae
Exons: 2
Source: RefSeq, a predicted model, not a curated record